AGUGAACGCUGGCGGUAGGCCUAACACAUGCAAGUCGAACGGCAGCACAGGAGAGCUUGCUCUCUGGGUGGCGAGUGGCGGACGGGUGAGGAAUACAUCGGAAUCUACUUUUUCGUGGGGGAUAACGUAGGGAAACUUACGCUAAUACCGCAUACGACCUACGGGUGAAAGCAGGGGAUCUUCGGACCUUGCGCGAUUGAAUGAGCCGAUGUCGGAUUAGCUAGUUGGCAGGGUAAAGGCCCACCAAGGCGACGAUCCGUAGCUGGUCUGAGGGCAUAAGCAGCCGCAAUGGCACUGGGGCGCGGUCCAGACUCCUGCUGGAGAGAGCAGUGGGGAAUAUUGGACAAUGGGCGCAAGCCUGAUCCAGCCAUACCGCGUGGGUGAAGAAGGCCUUCGGGUUGUAAAGCCCUUUUGUUGGGAAAGAAAUCCAGCUGGUUAAUACCCGGUUGGGAUGACGGUACCCAAAGAAUAAGCACCGGCUAACUUCGUGCCAGCCGCCGCAGUAA
This 506-nucleotide ribosomal RNA is filed under the name uncultured bacterium. Its description in RNAcentral is "partial 16S ribosomal RNA". It matches the Rfam family "Bacterial small subunit ribosomal RNA", at positions 29 to 523 of the family's 1533-position model. The record is from RNAcentral.